RNA transcript from Asterias rubens (European starfish), 2731 nucleotides. RefSeq lists it as uncharacterized. The transcript has 7 exons. The record is from RefSeq and is a predicted model, not a curated record. Lineage: Eukaryota; Metazoa; Echinodermata; Asteroidea; Forcipulatida; Asteriidae.
UUUGCGUUACAAGUGACUUAUCGCAUACAAGCAUCGUUAUCAACCGUGGAGAUAUCGUAAUUCUUUCCUGACGCAUUCACACGCAAGAAUAAAAAACAGGAUGUUUCUCGUCAACCUUGUACCCCUGCUUCUGGUGUUCGGUGUGUUGACUCAAUCUGGGGUUGAUGCAACUGAACAUCUUGAGGAAGAUCAGAGUGAUCUUCGAGAAGUGGUUGUGUCAUUGUUUGAUAAGUUUAUAAACGCAAGCCUCAGCGGUGACACGGAUGCGGUUGUGAGCCUUCACGACAAAGAUGCUAAGAUAUUAAUAGAUGGCUUUCCUCCGGUUAUUGGACUUGACGAGAUACGCACUCUGGUGGAGCUCCUACCCGAAAGAGCCGCUGAAGAAAAGUUUACCAUCAAAGAGUUGUGGCCAAUGGAUAAAGACGAAAACUAUUUGUACAUCCGUUAUCACUUUGAUUAUUUCAACAAGUCCGGUGAGAACUACCUCGAUGCGAGUGCAUUGGCAGUCUUCAAGAAGUCUGACGACCAGUACAAGAUUCACAUAGUGAUGUUCAACACUCACAACCAAGCAAUAUAAUAAGACGUCAUGUGAACCACUCCCUUCACGGUUAUCACUUUAUGUUCGUCACGAUCGUCACUGACUCUACCCCCACAAAACAGUCUAGAAUACUGUGACAGUUAUUUGUCAUAGUCAAUAUUUAAUGUAAUUUUCUUAGUGCAAUUGUCAACGUGUUAUCUUUAAUACUCUUAAUUUCUUCAACCAAUUCCGUGGGUAACAUUGCAUUGCUUUAAUGUGUCAAUCUGUCACAGUGUUUCAUGCAAGAUGGGCUAAGAUUCAUAGAGCUGUUUAAGCAUUGACUAGUUACUAAGCAAAACACAAUUAUGCUUACCAUAAUAAGGUUACCAGCCAAACUAUACCAUGUCACAAGUACAUUUUAUGACUGGUAUCCUGCUGAUUUCUGUUUAGCAGUUGAUUUUUUAAGCAAUAUUUUCUGCUUGACCAGCUCUGUAAAAUUGGACCCUGCCCAAAAAACUCGGUAUCUUGCGGCAGAAACAAGUUAAUAAAAAAACCAUGUCGUACAAAAAGAGGUUUCUUGUUAUUUCAUACGAGUUCUAGUGUAAAAGACAAUUAUUAUACAACUAAUGAGGAGCUUAUGUUGAAUGUUGGGGAUAAGAUGCGCUAAUGGUUACAAUAUUAACCCGUCGUUUAUGCGGGUUUUGUUUAAUUAUAAUAGAAAGAGAGAAUUGCCAAUCAGUUCACGGUAAUUUAUUAUUACUUUAUAAAAUUUAAUUGACGGUUGAAAAUCUGUAUAAAUAUUUUGAGUAGAGCCGUUUAGCGUUAGAAGCGACUUCUCGCAUACAAGCAUCAGCAUCAAUCGUGGGAGGUAUCGCAAUUAUUUCCUGACGCAAGAAGAGUACUGCAGUAUACUGAUUUGCGCUGUAGAAGUAUUUCUUCUUCUUAUUAUUAUUAUUGAGAAUCAAAAUUAGUAUGUUUCUCGUCAACCUUGUACCCCUGCUUCUGGUGUUCGGUGUGUUAACUCAAUCUGGGGUUGAUGCAACUGAACAUCUUGAGGAAGACCAGAGUGAUCUUCGAGAAGCGGUUGCGUCCUUGUUCGAUGAGUAUAUUAGCGCUAGCCUCAGCGGUAACACGGAUGCAGUGGUGAGCCUACACGACAAAGAUGCCAAAAUAUUGGUCGAAGGUUUUCCUCCGGCUACUGGACUUGAGGAGAUACGGACUCUGGUGGAGCUCCUACCCGAAAGAGCCGCUAAAAUGAAGUGGACCGUAAAAGAGGUGUGGCCGAUGGAUAAAGACGAAAACUAUGUAUACGUCCGAUUUUACUUCGAAAAUAUCAACAAGUCCGGAGAAAAAUACCUUGAUGGGACUGCAUUGACCGUCCUCAAGAAGUCUGAAGACCAGUACAAGUUUUACUUAGUGAUGUUCAACACUCAUAACCAAGCAACCUAAUAUGACGCUAUGUGCACCACACCCUACACGGUUAUGUUCGUCGAGACCGUCUCUGCAUCUGAAAGCACUUUUAAAAAGUUCUGUACAAACCUUACAAGAAGUGGGACUCGGUGCGACAUCGUUUUGCUUCUGGUCAAGACUGCAAGUUCAUAUCAUACCCCGGCUCGUAUUAGCUUGAUCGAUGUAUGGCGGACACUUUAUGAGUGCACUGUUUUUGGUUUGGGUGUAUGCAGACAAAUUUAACCCAAACCUAAUAGUGACCUAAUAAUGUGUUCACCAUAACUUAAAAUGGCUUAAUCACUGCCCAUCAAAUGCACAUAAAGAACACUUCAUUUGAUGUUUUUACUACUUUACGAAGCGCACCUGCGUUCUCAUUAUAUCCCGCUUUGGUUGUCGUUCUAAAAUCGUCCGAACCUUCAACAACAUCUUUGUUUCUAAUUUGUACAAAUGCAAUAAACAUUCAACCAAGAUCAUCAAAGCUUGUUUCCUCGUCCAUUAAUACAGUGACAAACAACAUCCUAAUGGUCACAUCGGGUUACAAUAUAGUAGUUGGAAACUGAAGGAAAAAAAAUCAAAUAUAUUUAUUUUUACAGGAUUUAUUUACAGAUUGAUCAUUCAAGAUAUUUUAACGAUAUAAAUUUUGAAAAUAGCCAAGCCGGUUGACUAAAUAAUAUUUCUGCCGGGCCAAUUUUGGAAGAAAAAAAACCUCCUUCGUCACCUUUUUUUUAGAAAAAAGGAAGACGUCAGACAUGUUUUUGUUAUUUG